GGGUAGUUUGACUGGGGCGGUCUCCUCCUAAAGAGUAACGGAGGAGCACGAAGGUUGGCUAAUCCUGGUCGGACAUCAGGAGGUUAGUGCAAUGGCAUAAGCCAGCUUGACUGCGAGCGUGACGGCGCGAGCAGGUGCGAAAGCAGGUCAUAGUGAUCCGGUGGUUCUGAAUGGAAGGGCCAUCGCUCAACGGAUAAAAGGUACUCCGGGGAUAACAGGCUGAUACCGCCCAAGAGUUCAUAUCGACGGCGGUGUUUGGCACCUCGAUGUCGGCUCAUCACAUCCUGGGGCUGAAGUAGGUCCCAAGGGUAUGGCUGUUCGCCAUUUAAAGUGGUACGCGAGCUGGGUUUAGAACGUCGUGAGACAGUUCGGUCCCUAUCUGCCGUGGGCGCUGGAGAACUGAGGGGGGCUGCUCCUAGUACGAGAGGACCGGAGUGGACGCAUCACUGGUGUUCGGGUUGUCAUGCCAAUGGCACUGCCCGGUAGCUAAAUGCGGAAGAGAUAAGUGCUGAAAGCAUCUAAGCACGAAACUUGCCCCGAGAUGAGUUCUCCCUGACUCCUUGAGAGUCCUGAAGGAACGUUGAAGACGACGACGUUGAUAGGCCGGGUGUGUAAGCGCAGCGAUGCGUUGAGCUAACCGGUACUAAUGAACCGUGAGGC
Molecule: ribosomal RNA, 660 nt
Filed under: Escherichia coli
Lineage: Bacteria; Pseudomonadati; Pseudomonadota; Gammaproteobacteria; Enterobacterales; Enterobacteriaceae
Description: partial 23S ribosomal RNA
Rfam family: Bacterial large subunit ribosomal RNA
Source: RNAcentral